This 623-nucleotide ribosomal RNA is filed under the name Lactococcus lactis. Its description in RNAcentral is "bacterial SSU rRNA". It matches the Rfam family "Bacterial small subunit ribosomal RNA", at positions 74 to 683 of the family's 1533-position model. Lineage: Bacteria; Bacillati; Bacillota; Bacilli; Lactobacillales; Streptococcaceae. The record is from RNAcentral.
UGGUACUUGUACCGACUGGAUGAGCAGCGAACGGGUGAGUAACGCGUGGGGAAUCUGCCUUUGAGCGGGGGACAACAUUUGGAAACGAAUGCUAAUACCGCAUAAAAACUUUAAACACAAGUUUUAAGUUUGAAAGAUGCAAUUGCAUCACUCAAAGAUGAUCCCGCGUUGUAUUAGCUAGUUGGUGAGGUAAAGGCUCACCAAGGCGAUGAUACAUAGCCGACCUGAGAGGGUGAUCGGCCACAUUGGGACUGAGACACGGCCCAAACUCCUACGGGAGGCAGCAGUAGGGAAUCUUCGGCAAUGGACGAAAGUCUGACCGAGCAACGCCGCGUGAGUGAAGAAGGUUUUCGGAUCGUAAAACUCUGUUGGUAGAGAAGAACGUUGGUGAGAGUGGAAAGCUCAUCAAGUGACGGUAACUACCCAGAAAGGGACGGCUAACUACGUGCCAGCAGCCGCGGUAAUACGUAGGUCCCGAGCGUUGUCCGGAUUUAUUGGGCGUAAAGCGAGCGCAGGUGGUUUAUUAAGUCUGGUGUAAAAGGCAGUGGCUCAACCAUUGUAUGCAUUGGAAACUGGUAGACUUGAGUGCAGGAGAGGAGAGUGGAAUUCCUGGGUUAAGCGGG